Stegostoma tigrinum is the source of this 1605-nucleotide long non-coding RNA. RefSeq lists it as uncharacterized. The record is from RefSeq and is a predicted model, not a curated record. NCBI's taxonomy places the organism in Eukaryota, Metazoa, Chordata, Chondrichthyes, Orectolobiformes, Stegostomatidae. The transcript is spliced from 4 exons.
CGUGAUCGUCUUUGUCCGGGGCACAAUAUCUCUGCGACUGAAGACUGAGACACGGCGUGUAUUUCCUGGGAAGGACUUUUGACGCUGGUGGAGUACUGGUUUCAGGCAGUAUAAUUGCUGCAGUUACACGAGAAAUGCUGAAAACGCGUUCAGAGCUUCAUGUUCAAAAACAAAGUUGCUGGAAAAGCUCAGAUAUUAAUUAAAAAUAAUUUGCAGACCAGGAUCACAAAGCAAGUUCUCCAUUAAGCGGAGUGAUCAGGAUGACCUUUCGUGAUCUAAUCCAGUAAGAGUGUGAGCUGCUACAAUGCACGUGCUAGUAAAAGUGGGAAUAAGAGGACAGAUGAGAUGGCUGCUUGGCUGGAGCUAUAACUUGAUGCCUCAGGAAUCUAAACCUUUUGAGACUGUUUGUUUGUUGGUUACUGGGUAAGGUAGGACAUGCACAAGCUUGACCAGUAGUCCUGGGCAGAGCUGGGACAGAUAUUCUUGAUGCUUUUGCUUGUUCCACUGGUGAGGAUUUAAACUCGUAUGACAAGGGAAUGGGAACCAAAGUAUAGCUUUAGCAGUAAAAGACUCAGAUCAGCAAAUGGGACGUGAAAUUAGUUCAUGAUGUUGUCGGUGGCUGAAAGAUUAAAAGAAAGAAGGAUUAAUCAAGAUCAAAUCUCUUUUCAUACAUCAGUCCUGUGAUCCCAGGAAUUGGUCUGGUGAACCGUCUUUAUGAUCAUUCAGUAGCCAAAGCAUCCCUCCUUUGGAAAGGAGAACAAAGGUGCACUCUACUCCAGGUGUGGUCUCACCAAGGCCCUUAGAGAAAGACAUCCCUCUUCCUGUACUCGAAUCCUCUCACAAUGAAGGCCGAAAUAUCAUUUGCAUUCUUCACUACUUGCUGCUGCCAGUUUCCUAAAAGAGAACAGGAGAGAAACACGGAACAAAAUGGGGUCAGACACUGGGGUAACAUUGUUGAACACACUGUCCCGACUGUAUCGGUGCUGGCCAUCAAGCACCUAUUGAAGCUAGGCCCGUUUUCUGGCACUCGGUGUGUAACCUAUAUUAUGGUGCAAUGGAUGAUCAUCUCAACACUUCUUCAAGAUUGCAAUGGUUCCUGCAUCUAUCACCAUUUCAGAUGCUGCCAGAUCUGCUGUGUAUCUCCAUCUUUUUCUGUUUUUAUUUCAGAUUUCAGGUAUUUUGCUGCGUCUUAGUCCUUCAGAAGGAUCAGAGGGUAUGGGGAGAAAACAGGAAUUGGAUUCAUUUUCAGAUGUAUAAAAUGCCUGUCCUGCAUGUCUGUCCAAACUAUCUCUUUUUGUAGUUUUGGGCAAACACUGACAGUUUCCCUUCCCUGAAGGACAUUUAAUGAACCAAUUCAGUUUUACUGAUAAUCCAGCUGUGGCCCUCAGUGUUGGAUCCACAAUUGACCAGAUUAAUUUCUGAGUUUCACAAUCUUUGUGUGUGUGUUCUUCUUCUGGUUUCUCUCUCUCUACUUUUCUGUUUGAAAUUUUGAUUGCAUUCAGAGAAAUCGAACAAAACCACAUCCAGAUCUGACACUGCAAUCUGUUGUCAUAACCUAAUUAUCUCAAGAUUUUGAACAUUGAAGGAAGAAGCACUGUUCACACC